UGUAUCUGAAGUCUGACGAGGAUGAGAACCUCCGGGGGCAAGAGGUUCGACUCGAGCGAAGCGAGAGAACGUUGC
This 75-nucleotide small RNA is filed under the name Salmonella enterica subsp. enterica serovar Muenchen. Its description in RNAcentral is "partial RtT sRNA". It matches the Rfam family "RtT RNA", at positions 1 to 71 of the family's 130-position model. From Rfam's summary of the family: This family represents a bacterial cis-regulatory element known as RtT RNA. The exact function of RtT is unknown although it is thought that it may be involved in changing the cellular response in relation to amino acid starvation. The record is from RNAcentral. RNAcentral also lists the same sequence under 5 other names. Lineage: Bacteria; Pseudomonadati; Pseudomonadota; Gammaproteobacteria; Enterobacterales; Enterobacteriaceae.